CCUGAUGGCUCAGUUGGUAAAGAGUGUGCCUGCAACGCAGGAGACUCAGGUUCAAUUCCUGAGUCAGGA
This 69-nucleotide transfer RNA is filed under the name Ovis aries (sheep). It matches the Rfam family "tRNA". Rfam says of the family: Transfer RNA (tRNA) molecules are approximately 80 nucleotides in length. Their secondary structure includes four short double-helical elements and three loops (D, anti-codon, and T loops). The record is from Rfam by way of RNAcentral. Lineage: Eukaryota; Metazoa; Chordata; Mammalia; Artiodactyla; Bovidae.